UCGUAAAAAAGAGGUGUGAGGGCUGUCGCUGACCCCCCAAAGGUCGUGCACGCCUGAGCGCUUUUACACAAUCCAUCUCACCCCUUGUGCAUCACUGCGUGGGUCCCCCCUUUGCGGGGAGGGGCCUGCGUUUCCACACAAAACCCCCACUUUAAAAGUGUAGAAUGACCUCUAUUAUAAAAUCAAUA
This 188-nucleotide unclassified non-coding RNA is filed under the name uncultured Russulaceae. Its description in RNAcentral is "sequence contains ITS1". The record is from RNAcentral. Lineage: Eukaryota; Fungi; Basidiomycota; Agaricomycetes; Russulales; Russulaceae.